GAUGAACGCUGACAGAAUGCUUAACACAUGCAAGUCUACUUGAACUUCGGUUUGGGUGGCGGACGGGUGAGUAACGCGUAAAGAACUUGCCUCACAGAUAGGGACAAUAUUUGGAAACGAAUGCUAAUACCUGAUAUUAUGAUUUUAGGGCAUCCUAGAAUUAUGAAAGCUAUAUGCACUGUGAGAGAGCUUUGCGUCCCAUUAGCUAGUUGGAGAGGUAACGGCUCACCAAGGCGAUGAUGGGUAGCCGGCCUGAGAGGGUGAUCGGCCACAAGGGGACUGAGACACGGCCCUUACUCCUACGGGAGGCAGCAGUGGGGAAUAUUGGACAAUGGACCAAGAGUCUGAUCCAGCAAUUCUGUGUGCACGAUGAAGUUUUUCGGAAUGUAAAGUGCUUUCAGUUGGGAAGAAAAAAAUGACGGUACCAACAGAAGAAGUGACGGCUAAAUACGUG
Molecule: ribosomal RNA, 454 nt
Filed under: uncultured bacterium
Lineage: Bacteria
Description: partial 16S ribosomal RNA
Rfam family: Bacterial small subunit ribosomal RNA
Source: RNAcentral